Molecule: long non-coding RNA, 205 nt
Filed under: Elaeis guineensis (African oil palm)
Lineage: Eukaryota; Viridiplantae; Streptophyta; Magnoliopsida; Arecales; Arecaceae
Description: long non-coding RNA (EGUI_LNC014820)
Source: RNAcentral
CUUACUUUCAUCACUUUCUCUUCUUUUAAGUAUUUGGUGACUGCUCUUCUUGUGGGGACGAGCACCAUCAAGAUGGAUGAGAUCAUUUCUGCACUUCUUCAGAAUAAGAUUCUCAGAUAAAAAAAUCGAGCUUCGAGUUCAAGUAGUGACUCGACUAUGGCAGUGACCGGAGAUGAUGGUACCACCUGAAGAUUAUGGUGGCAGA